UCAACUUGAGAGUUUGAUCCUGGCUCAGAACGAACGCUGGCGGCAGGCUUAACACAUGCAAGUCGAGCGCCCCUCCUUCAAGCAAGCUUGAAGGUCCUUUGGCCGAAGGCCAGGAAAGAGGAUCAAGAAAGCCGAGCUUUCUUGAUGGAGGGGAGCGGCAGACGGGUGAGUAACGCGUGGGAAUCUACCUAGCUCUACGGAAUAACCCAGGGAAACUUGGACUAAUACCGUAUACGUCCGAGAGGAGAAAGAUUUAUCGGAGUUAGAUGAGCCCGCGUUGGAUUAGCUAGUUGGUGGGGUAAAGGCCUACCAAGGCGACGAUCCAUAGCUGGUCUGAGAGGAUGAUCAGCCACACUGGGACUGAGACACGGCCCAGACUCCUACGGGAGGCAGCAGUGGGGAAUAUUGGACAAUGGGCGCAAGCCUGAUCCAGCCAUGCCGCGUGAGUGAUGACGGCCUUAGGGUUGUAAAGCUCUUUCAACGGUGAAGAUAAUGACGGUAACCGUAGAAGAAGCCCCGGCUAACUUCGUGCCAGCAGCCGCGGUAAUACGAAGGGGGCUAGCGUUGUUCGGAAUUACUGGGCGUAAAGCGCACGUAGGCGGAUACUUAAGUCAGGGGUGAAAUCCCGGGGCUCAACCCCGGAACUGCCUUUGAUACUGGGUAUCUAGAGUAUGGUAGAGGUGAGUGGAAUUCCGAGUGUAGAGGUGAAAUUCGUAGAUAUUCGGAGGAACACCAGUGGCGAAGGCGGCUCACUGGACCAUUACUGACGCUG
This 772-nucleotide ribosomal RNA is filed under the name Salmonella enterica subsp. enterica. RNAcentral's name for it is "bacterial SSU rRNA". It matches the Rfam family "Bacterial small subunit ribosomal RNA", at positions 1 to 748 of the family's 1533-position model. Lineage: Bacteria; Pseudomonadati; Pseudomonadota; Gammaproteobacteria; Enterobacterales; Enterobacteriaceae. The record is from RNAcentral.